RNAcentral lists this ribosomal RNA (1929 nucleotides) under human gut metagenome. RNAcentral's name for it is "bacterial LSU rRNA". It matches the Rfam family "Bacterial large subunit ribosomal RNA", at positions 512 to 2449 of the family's 2925-position model. The record is from RNAcentral.
AGGUGAAAAGCACUUCGAACAGAAGAGUGAAAUAGUCCCUGAACCCAUACGCCUACAAGCAGUCGGAGCCGCUUCGUGCGGUGACGGCGUGCCUUUUGCAUAAUGAGCCUACGAGUUACUCAUCACCAGCGAGGUUAAGUACUUCAGGUACGUAAGCCGAAGCGAAAGCGAGUCUGAAUAGGGCGUCAAGUUGGUGGUGGUAGACGCGAAACCUUAGUGAUCUACCCAUGGGCAGGGUGAAGGUUUGGUAACACAAACUGGAGGCCCGAACCGGUAAACGUUGAAAAGUUUUCGGAUGACCUGUGGGUAGGGGUGAAAGGCCAAUCAAACUGGGAAAUAGCUCGUACUCUCCGAAAUGCAUUUAGGUGCAGCCUCUGUUGUUUUGUUCUAGAGGUAGAGCUACUGAUUGGAUGCGAGGGCUUCACCGCCUAUCAAAUCCGGCCAAACUCCGAAUGCUAGAACAUGAAGACAGGGAGUGAGCCAGCGGGUGCUAAGGUCCGUUGACGAAAGAGGGAGAACUCAGACCAUCAGCUAAGGUCCCCAAUUAUAUGCUAAGUUGGAAUAAAAACGGGGUGGGACUGCUUAGACAGCUAGGAUGUUGGCUUGGAAGCAGCCAUUCAUUUAAAGAGUGCGUAACAGCUCACUAGUCGAGCGGUCCUGCAUGGAUAAUACGCGGGCAUAAGCAUAUAACCGAAGCUAUGGGAUUGUAGAUGAUACAAUCGGUAGGAGAGCAUUCCAUUCAGCAUAGAAGCAGUACCGUGAGGUAUUGUGGAGCGGAUGGAAAAGCAAAUGUAGGCAUAAGUAACGAUAAUGCGGGUGAGAACCCCGCACGCCGAAAGAUCAAGGAUUCCCCGGCAAUGUCAAUCAUCCGGGGGUAAGUCGGAUCCUAAGGGUAAGCCGAGUGGCGAUCCCGAUGGCAAACAGGUUAAUAUUCCUGUACUGAUCAUAACUGCGAUGCAGCGACGCAGAGGUGACACUGCUGCGUACUGACGGAAUAGUACGUUGAAACCCGUAUUCUUUGAUACCGGUAGUGAAGCACGCCGGUAGAGAUGAAAGGUGAUAGUACCGCAAUGCUUCGGUUGCGCGGAUAACGCAGGUAAGCUGACUGCCAAGAAAACCUGCUAAGCUUCAGGUAAUGAUCAUCCGUACUGUAAACGGACACACGUGAUCAGGUAGAAAAUACUAAGGCGCUCGAGAGAUUCAUGGUUAAGGAACUAGGCAAAAUGGUCCUGUAACUUCGGGAUAAAGGACGCUCUUGUGAAAGAGCCGCAGAUAAUAGGCCCAGGCGACUGUUUACCAAAAACACAUGGCUAUGCUAAUUCGCAAGAAGAUGUAUAUGGCCUGACACCUGCCCGGUGCCGGAAGGUUAAGAGGAGAGCUCAGAGGUAACUCGAAGGUUUGAAUUGAAGCCCCGGUAAACGGCGGCCGUAACUAUAACGGUCCUAAGGUAGCGAAAUUCCUUGUCGGGUAAGUUCCGACCUGCACGAAUGGUGUAACGAUCUGGGUACUGUCUCAACCAUGAGCUCGGUGAAAUUGUAGUUCCGGUGAAGAUGCCGGAUACCCGCAACGGGACGGAAAGACCCCGUGAACCUUUACUGCAGCUUUGCAUUGAUUUUGGGUAACAGAUGUGUAGGAUAGGUCGGAGGCUUUGAUGCUGCGUCGUCAGGCGUAGAGUAGCCGUCGUUGAAAUACGACCCUUUUGUUAUCUGAGGUCUAAUCCCGUUAGGGAGACAUUGCAUGGUGGGUAGUUUGACUGGGGUGGUCGCCUCCAAAAGUGUAACGGAGGCUUCUCAAGGUACCCUCAAGGCGUUUGGUAAUCGUCUGCAGAGUGCAAUGGCAUAAGGGUGCUUGACUGUGAGACCGACACGUCGAUCAGGUUGGAAACAAGAGCAUAGUGAUCCGGUGGUUCCGCAUGGAAGGGCCAUCGCU